This 255-nucleotide ribosomal RNA is filed under the name Vibrio parahaemolyticus. RNAcentral's name for it is "partial 23S ribosomal RNA". It matches the Rfam family "Bacterial large subunit ribosomal RNA", at positions 2051 to 2305 of the family's 2925-position model. The record is from RNAcentral. Lineage: Bacteria; Pseudomonadati; Pseudomonadota; Gammaproteobacteria; Vibrionales; Vibrionaceae.
CUGUGAAGAUGCAGUGUACCCGCGGCUAGACGGAAAGACCCCGUGAACCUUUACUACAGCUUGGCACUGAACAUUGACCCUACAUGUGUAGGAUAGGUGGGAGGCUUUGAAGCAGGUACGCCAGUAUCUGUGGAGCCGUCCUUGAAAUACCACCCUUGUAGUGUUGAUGUUCUAACGUUGACCCCUAAUCGGGGUUGCGGACAGUGCCUGGUGGGUAGUUUGACUGGGGCGGUCUCCUCCCAAAGAGUAACGGAG